RNAcentral lists this ribosomal RNA (253 nucleotides) under uncultured bacterium. RNAcentral describes it as "partial 16S ribosomal RNA". It matches the Rfam family "Bacterial small subunit ribosomal RNA", at positions 524 to 776 of the family's 1533-position model. The record is from RNAcentral.
UACGGAGGGUGCAAGCGUUAAUCGGAUUUAUUGGGCGUAAAGGGCGCGUAGGCGGGGUAGUAAGUUAGAUGUGAAAUCCCGGAGCUCAACUCCGGUCCCGCAUCUAAAACUGCUGUCCUAGAGGAUGGACGGAGAAAAGGGAAUUCCACGUGUAGCGGUGAAAUGCGUAGAUAUGUGGAAGAACACCAGUGGCGAAGGCGCUUUUCUAGUUUAGACCUGACGCUGAGGCGCGAAAGCAAGGGGAGCAAACAGG